CUACGGGUCGCACCAGUGGGGAAUAUUGCGCAAUGGACGAAAGUCUGACGCAGCGACGCCGUGUGAGGGAAGAAGGCUUUCGAGUCGUAAACCUCUGUCAGGAGGGAAGAACCGCGUGGAGGCGAAUAGGCUCUGCGUCUGACGGUACCUCCAGAGGAAGCACCGGCUAACUCCGUACCAGCAGCCGCGGUAAUACGGAGGGUGCAAGCGUUAAUCGGAAUCACUGGGCGUAAAGCGUACGUAGGCGGCCUGCCAAGUCGGAUGUGAAAGCCCGCGGCUCAACCGGGGAACUGCAUUCGAAACUGGCAAGCUAGAAUCCGAGAGAGGGUGGCGGAAUUCCAGGUGUAGGAGGGAAAUCCGUAGAGAUCUGGAGGAACGCCAGUGGCGAAGGCGGCCACCUGGAUCGUGAUUGACGCUGAGGUACGAAAGCGUGGGGAGCAAACAGGAUUAGAUACCCUAGUAGUC
Molecule: ribosomal RNA, 465 nt
Filed under: uncultured bacterium
Lineage: Bacteria
Description: partial 16S ribosomal RNA
Rfam family: Bacterial small subunit ribosomal RNA
Source: RNAcentral